AUUGAACGCUAGCGGGAUGCUUUACACAUGCAAGUCGAACGAGUGGCGGACGGGUGAGUAAUAUAUCGGAACGUGCCCAGUAGCGGGGGAUAACUACUCGAAAGAGUGGCUAAUACCGCAUACUAUUGGAGCGGCCGCUAUCGGAUUAGCUAGUUGGUGAGGUAAAGGCUCACCUAGGCAACGAUCCCUAGCUGGUUUGAGAGGAUGACCAGCCACACUGGGACGGAGACACGGCCCAGACUCCUACGGGAGGCAGCAGUGGGGAAUUUUGGACAAUGGGCGCAAGCCUGAUGCAGCCAUGCCGCGUGUAUGAGAAGGCCCUCGGGUUGUAAAGUACUUUCGGUAGGGAGGCGUUACCGGCAGAAGAAGCACCGGCUAACUACGUGCCAGCCGCCGCGGUAAUUC
This 405-nucleotide ribosomal RNA is filed under the name uncultured bacterium. RNAcentral's name for it is "partial 16S ribosomal RNA". It matches the Rfam family "Bacterial small subunit ribosomal RNA", at positions 30 to 526 of the family's 1533-position model. The record is from RNAcentral.